This 1041-nucleotide long non-coding RNA is filed under the name Apteryx owenii (little spotted kiwi). RNAcentral's name for it is "lncRNA (ENSAOWG00000006011.1)". Lineage: Eukaryota; Metazoa; Chordata; Aves; Apterygiformes; Apterygidae. The record is from RNAcentral.
CAUCAAGAGCGGCCGCUCACCACUGCUGCACGCAGUGGAGCGCGGCAGCCUCGACAUGGCCCAGCUCCUCAUCCAGCGGGGGUCGCAGGUGAACGCGCAGUCAUACGCGGGGUGCAUGGCGCUGCACGUGGUGGCGGAGGGCUCCGGGGUGGUUUUGAGGGGCUCCGGGGCAGUUUCGGGUGCAUUUCGGUGCGUUGCUCUCCCUGCAGCGGGGGGCGCAGGUGAACACGCAGUCGUACGCGGGGUGCACGGCGCUGCACGCGGUGGCGGGGGGGCUCGGGGCGGUUUCUCGGGUCCCCAGGGCGGCUCGGGGGGCUGUUUGGGGUGCAUUUCGGGUGCAUUUCGGUGUGUCCCCCUGCCCGCAGCGGGGGGCGCGGGUGAACGCGCAGUCGUACGCGGGGUGCACGGCGCUGCAUGCAGUGGCGGAGGGCUCGGGGCGGUUUCUCAGGUCCCCGGGGAGGCUCGGUGGGCGGUUUUGGGUGCAUUUCGGGUGCAUUUCGGUGUGUCCCCCUGCCUGCAGUGGGGGGCGCGGGUGAACGUGCAGUCAUACGCGGGGUGCACGGCGCUGCACGUGGUGGCGGAGGGCUCCGGGGUGGUUUUGAGGGGCUCCGGGGCAGUUUCGGGUGCAUUUCGGUGCGUUGCUCUCCCCGCAGCGGGGGGGCGCAGGUGAACGCGCAGUCGUACGUGGGGUGCACGGCGCUGCACACGGUGGCGGGGGGCUCGGGGCGGUUUCUCGGGUCCCCAGGGCGGCUCGGGGGGCUGUUUGGGGUGCAUUUCGGGUGCAUUUCGGUGUGUCCCCCUGCCUGCAGCGGGGGGCGCGGGUGAACGCGCAGUCGUACGCGGGGUGCACGGCGCUGCAUGCGGCGGCGGGCCGGGGGCUCCUGGGGCUGCUGCGGCUCCUGGUGCGCAGCGGCGCCGACUGCGGCGUCAAGAACUACCACAACGACACAGCGCUCGCCGUCGCCAAGAACCGGCAGGUCUGCACUGCGCGGGGGGGUCUAUGGGGGGGUCUCUACUGCGGGAGGGCUUUCUAUGGGGGGU